Psammomys obesus (fat sand rat) is the source of this 282-nucleotide long non-coding RNA. RefSeq lists it as uncharacterized. NCBI's taxonomy places the organism in Eukaryota, Metazoa, Chordata, Mammalia, Rodentia, Muridae. The transcript has 2 exons. The record is from RefSeq and is a predicted model, not a curated record.
GCACCGAUUGUCUAGAAUAACUUAGUUCACGCCGUCUCUAUGAAUUCCUCCAGCAGCUUCUCACAGGAUGGAAAUAUGGAGCAGCGGUCACCUGUUGCUGUUGCUUGCGUGUCUAAUGUAUGCUUGCUGGUGGUAGAACUCAGAGGCUGCACGGAUAAGGUCCACUUUCUGCCAUCAGCUACAGUGCCAGCUCAGCUUGGCUAAUACGGAAUUCAGUUUAAGGAUCUUUUAAAAAGACUUUUGUGGUUUUUACCUCCAUAAAGAAUUUUGUUGUUGUUGUUU